CCCUUAGAUGUUCUGGGCCGCACGCGCGCUACACUGAUGCAUUCAACAAGCCUAGCCUUGACCGAGAGGUCCGGGUAAUCUUUGAAACUGCAUUGUGAUGGGGCUAGAUUAUUGCAAUUAUUAAUCUUCAACGAGGAAUGCCUAGUAAGCGUGAUUCAUCAAAUCGCGUUGAUUACGUCCCUGCCCUUUGUACACACCGCCCGUCGCUCCUACCGAUUGAAUGUGUUGGUGAGGAGCUCGGAUUGGCAGCAGUUGGUGGUUCGCCACCGGCUAUUGCUGAGAAGUCCUCCAAACCGCCCCAUUUAGAGGAAGGAGAANUCGUANCA
Molecule: ribosomal RNA, 326 nt
Filed under: uncultured eukaryote
Lineage: Eukaryota
Description: partial 18S ribosomal RNA
Rfam family: Eukaryotic small subunit ribosomal RNA
Source: RNAcentral